CAAUAGCGUAUAUUAAUGUUGUUGCAGUUAAAAAGCUCGUAGUUGGAUUUCUGGUGGGAGCGGCCGGUCCGCCGUAAGGUGUGUACUUGGUUGUCUCCUGUCAUCCUUGUGGGAACUGCUCUGGCAUUAAGUUGUCGGGGUUAGGGAACACAUCGUUUACUGUGAAAAAAUUAGAGUGUUUAAAGCAGGCUUAUGCCGUUGAAUACAUUAGCAUGGAAUAAUAAGAUAGGACUUUGGCGUCUAUUUUGUUGGUUUGCACACCAAGGUAAUGAUUAAUAGGGAUAGUUGGGGGUAUUCGUAUUUAAUUGUCGGAGGUGAAAUUCUUGGAUUUAUGAAAGACGAACUUCUGCGAAAGCAUUUACCAAAGAUGUUUUCAUUAA
This 380-nucleotide ribosomal RNA is filed under the name uncultured eukaryote. Its description in RNAcentral is "partial 18S ribosomal RNA". It matches the Rfam family "Eukaryotic small subunit ribosomal RNA", at positions 592 to 976 of the family's 1831-position model. The record is from RNAcentral.